CCGCAGCUUGUCGACGGCCUAUAUUUUU
This 28-nucleotide small RNA is filed under the name Bombyx mori (domestic silkworm). RNAcentral's name for it is "ovarian small RNA-13852". Lineage: Eukaryota; Metazoa; Arthropoda; Insecta; Lepidoptera; Bombycidae. The record is from RNAcentral.